UGCCUGUGUUGUCUUCUGGUCCACCACAUGGAGACAACGUAUGAUUCUUUAUCUUAGAAUAUUCUUCCUCGCUGACAGGAGGAUACAAUGACAUCCACUUGAGGACGUCAGGCAUCACUGAAAAUUUUCCUCUUGCUCAGGUGGUAGAUUCUUUUUAGAGGACCUAGCACAGAGCCUGGCACACGGGGGUGACCCAGGAAUUAUUAGCAGAAUGUACAUAUCAGUGUGAAUGGAAGCCCUGAUGACUCAAGAAGCCUAUGGGAUGGAGAGGGGACAUCCCUGCUCCACGCCCAAAGCCUGCUGUGAGUGGACAGCUCUGAGCAAGGCUCUCCUUCAACCAGGACAGAGGAAUCCUGUGUCAGGUCUCACUCCCUGGCUGGAGGCACACUGGCAGAACUUUCUCCUCUGACAGAGGCCAUCAAGUCAACUUUUGGUUCUGACAAGAAUGCUAAACCUGGGAAUCAGGAAAAGAAUCCAAAGACUGGGGCUUCUUCAUGUUAAAAUAGUUUGUUUAUUCAUUCAUUCAUUCUUUCUUGGAAUAUUGUUGUGUAAUUAUGUGCUGCUUAAAAUUGGAGAAGCCAUGCUGUGACUUGGAGAAUAGCUCUGGACAACUGUGGAUGAUGAAGUAGAGACACUGGGACUUGGGUCUUUGAUGACAUUGAACCACCAAGGCAAACCUGGGGCCAUCUGUCACCUGACUGUCAUCUGUCACCUGCCAUCUGUCACCUGCCUAUUAAGGAAAUAAACUUCCUUCAAUGUGAGCCACAGCAGGUCCUGACUGUGUGUUGAGAGCAUAGGGUUGAGUUCCUGAGAAGAGCUCUCUCUCCUUCACAAAGAGCCUGCCGACUUCAGAAGGGCUGAUUCACAGAGUGACUUAUGGUGGCUACGGAGAGUCCCUAGGGGAAGGCAUUGAUCACCAGUGGCUGUUCUGCUAAACUUUCCAAAUGUUCUAGAUGUUCCACCUGCAAGAGAUCAACUACCGAAGGGUAACCUGAAGGUAUUCACUCUAAUUGUGUACCUACUGAGUACCAAGUCCUCCAAAAUAGCAAAUGCAUGCAAUAAAUCACAGACGGUAUUUAUCAUAUGGUGACUUUGGAGUCUUACUAUUUUACCCAAAUUUGCUCCAGUAGAAUUAGAAGGUCUGGUUCAUCCAACCUCGACAAUGAUACGUUGGAGCUCAACAGGAAUGAAGAAACCAGCUACAUGUUUUUCAGUCAGGAGCUUAUAUUGUCUUUCUUUCCAAGCACUAUCUCAAGCCUGUGACCACAGAAGGCAUUCCACAAUAAAAAAUCACUUUUCAAGCAACCAUUCAGAGAUUUCC
Long non-coding RNA from Mustela erminea (ermine), 1321 nucleotides. RefSeq lists it as uncharacterized. The record is from RefSeq and is a predicted model, not a curated record. The transcript is spliced from 8 exons. Lineage: Eukaryota; Metazoa; Chordata; Mammalia; Carnivora; Mustelidae.